This 253-nucleotide ribosomal RNA is filed under the name uncultured bacterium. Its description in RNAcentral is "partial 16S ribosomal RNA". It matches the Rfam family "Bacterial small subunit ribosomal RNA", at positions 524 to 776 of the family's 1533-position model. The record is from RNAcentral.
UACGUAGGGUGCGAGCGUUGUCCGGAAUUACUGGGCGUAAAGAGCUCGUAGGUGGUUUGUCGCGUUGUUCGUGAAAACUCACAACUCAAUUGUGGGCGUGCGGGCGAUACGGGCAGACUGGAGUACUGCAGGGGAGACUGGAAUUCCUGGUGUAGCGGUGGAAUGCGCAGAUAUCAGGAGGAACACCGGUGGCGAAGGCGGGUCUCUGGGCCGAUACUGACGCUGAGGAGCGAAAGCGUGGGGAGCGAACAGG